AUAAAGGCGAUGAAUAGAGGAGUAAUUGUAUUUUGAUCAUUCUAGAGAGUCUCGGCUGGUGGAAAGAGAUAAUGAUAGGUAUAAUGAAAAAAGACUAGGAGCUGUAUCUAGGAUAUUUAAAUUGAUUAGAUAACGUGAGCCACGUUACAGGCAAGACUAUUAUUUGAUAGUUAAUGAGGUUAAUAAGGUGACUUAUUAAUGAAAUAGGGUGGUACCACGAUACUUUCGUCCCUUUG
This 236-nucleotide non-coding RNA is filed under the name Thomasclavelia spiroformis. RNAcentral's name for it is "Clostridium spiroforme T-box sequence". It matches the Rfam family "T-box leader". Rfam says of the family: Uncharged tRNA acts as the effector for transcription antitermination of genes in the T-box leader family. The record is from RNAcentral. Lineage: Bacteria; Bacillati; Bacillota; Erysipelotrichia; Erysipelotrichales; Coprobacillaceae.